Molecule: unclassified non-coding RNA, 250 nt
Filed under: plant metagenome
Description: partial contains small subunit ribosomal RNA, internal transcribed spacer 1, and 5.8S ribosomal RNA
Source: RNAcentral
GUAGGUGAACCUGCGGAAGGAUCAUUAACACGUAUCCACGUAUCAACCCCUCUGUGAAAACCUAUCUCUUGUAAGGCUUGGUCUUAGUGUGCUGUUCGCAUGAAGUCCUAAUGAUGGAGGCUCUUCGGAGCCUAGGGCUUGAAUAGCAUGUGUUUGACGUCCGGCCGCCACUUUUCCAUCGUUGGUCCUUUACAAACUUUUAACCCCUUUGUACUCUUUGUACCGAACCAAUUCUUCGACGCUCUUUUAG